UGCGUAGGUGGGUUGGUAAGUCAGUGGUGAAAUCCCCGAGCUUAACUUGGGAACUGCCAUUGAUACUAUCAGUCUUGAAUAUUGUGGAGGUUAGCGGAAUAUGUCAUGUAGCGGUGAAAUGCUUAGAUAUGACAUAGAACACCAAUUGCGAAGGCAGCUGGCUACGCAUAUAUUGACACUGAGGCACGAAAGCGUGGGGAUCAAACA
Molecule: ribosomal RNA, 207 nt
Filed under: uncultured bacterium
Lineage: Bacteria
Description: partial 16S ribosomal RNA
Rfam family: Bacterial small subunit ribosomal RNA
Source: RNAcentral